This 400-nucleotide ribosomal RNA is filed under the name uncultured bacterium. RNAcentral's name for it is "bacterial SSU rRNA". It matches the Rfam family "Bacterial small subunit ribosomal RNA", at positions 355 to 772 of the family's 1533-position model. The record is from RNAcentral.
UCGGGAAUUUUGGGCAAUGGGCGAAAGCCUGACCCAGCAACGCCGCGUGAAGGAUGAAGUAUUUCGGUAUGUAAACUUCGAAAGAAUAGGAAGAAUAAAUGACGGUACUAUUUAUAAGGUCCGGCUAACUACGUGCCAGCAGCCGCGGUAAUACGUAGGGACCAAGCGUUGUUCGGAUUUACUGGGCGUAAAGGGCGCGUAGGCGGCUUGACAAGUCACUUGUGAAAUCUCUGGGCUUAACCCAGAACGGCCAAGUGAAACUGUCAUGCUAGAGUGCAGAAGGGGCAAUCGGAAUUCUUGGUGUAGCGGUGAAAUGCGUAGAUAUCAAGAGGAACACCUGAGGUGAAGACGGGUUGCUGGGCUGACACUGACGCUGAGGCGCGAAAGCCAGGGGAGCAAA